AACGAACGUUGGCGGCGUGGAUUAGGCAUGCAAGUCGUACGAAUCCCCCGCAAGGGGGGGAAGUGGCGAAAGGGGCAGUAAGGCAUGGGUAACCUACCUGGAAGUCGGGGAUAGCCUUGGGAGACCUUGGGUAAUACCCGGCGUGCUGUUUGGGGGGCAUUCCCCGGACAGGGAAGCCGAGAGGUGCUUCGAGAGGGGCCCAUGUGGUAUUAGCUAGUUGGUGGGGUAAUGGCCCACCAAGGCGAAGAUGCCUAGCGGGUGUGAGAGCACGACCCGCGCCAUUGGCACUGAGACACUGGCCAGACACCUACGGGUGGCUGCAGUCGAGGAUCUUCGGCAAUGGGCGAAAGCCUGACCGAGCGACGCCGCGUGGAUGAUGAAGGCCUUCGGGUUGUAAAGUCCAAAGGGGAGGAGAAAGCCGCAAGGCCGAUCGAGUCCCAGUAAGCACGGGCUAAAUUCGUGCCAGCAGCCGCAGUAACAC
This 481-nucleotide ribosomal RNA is filed under the name uncultured bacterium. Its description in RNAcentral is "bacterial SSU rRNA". It matches the Rfam family "Bacterial small subunit ribosomal RNA", at positions 29 to 526 of the family's 1533-position model. The record is from RNAcentral.